Molecule: long non-coding RNA, 1032 nt
Organism: Hevea brasiliensis (rubber tree)
Lineage: Eukaryota; Viridiplantae; Streptophyta; Magnoliopsida; Malpighiales; Euphorbiaceae
Exons: 3
Source: RefSeq, a predicted model, not a curated record
UCUCUCCUCUCCUCCCCUCUCUUCUUCUUCUUUCCUUCUCCGGUGACCGGCCGAUGACCUCCCAAGCGGCUCCCCACCCGGCCGACGACCUCCCAAACGGUGGUAGCAGCCCGAAAUCUGGCCAACAAUAGAAAGAGAGAGAGAAAAAAAAAAGGUCUCAAACUUUGAAUGCUCGUAUCCAGCGAUCUUGACUUCCGAUUGGAGUGAUUCCAGCGGCUAUGGACUCCUAAGAGCGAGCCCUUUCAGAUGAGACCAGCCUCGCCGGAUUUGGUGGCCAUUUCCGGUGCCAACGAGGAGAGAGAAAAUCGGCUUUUUUUUUUUUUUUACUUUUUGACGAGAUUUCUGACAAUCCGACCGAUGGAUCGGCAAUCCAAGACCACCUACGGACUCAGGAGGAGGAAAUGAACAUUUUGGUGUAACCAGUUCUCGUAGAUGUCGCCGGCGAUUGACGGCCGGCCACCGUGCGCGGUAGUUCCGACGGUGGCUUCGACGAGCUUUGGGGAUGAUUCAACUUCCAAAUGCUUCCUCAUAAAUUUUUUGAAUUUUUGAGAUAUAGAUAAGCUUUGGGUGAUCGAUGUCAGCUAUUUUCCUCCAUCCAGCAACCACAAUAGUCCUCGGUGUACUGCUAUAGGAGGAGAUUUUUUUUCAGAAUAACUUGUUCCUUUCCUCGCAGGUUAUGAAAAAAAAAAUUACUUAAAUGUAUUAUUAUUGUCUAAAUUUAUAAUUUAGAACUCCGCAUAUACUAGUAGUAGCAUUAAUCUUGUCAAGGACUGCAUGAAUUUAAGUUUUUGUAUUAAUAAAUGAAAAUUUUUUAUGAGUUUUAAAUAGUUUGUAAAUGAUGUAAUAGGGUUGAGCUGGGCUCCCCUAAUUUUAGUUUCUGAUAAUUACUGGGCUAAGUUGGCUCGAAAUAAAAUUAUAACAGUUUAAUUUAAAUUAUUUUCUAUGCAUAUUGGGCCUAAAUUAUGGUCCUAGUCAUGGGUUGAGGUAUAGUUAGGUUUACUAUGGGUUUCGGGGGCUUUAAGCUGGCCCAGG